UACGUAGGGUCCGAGCGUUGUCCGGAAUUAUUGGGCGUAAAGGGCUCGUAGGCGGUUUGUCGCGUCGGGAGUGAAAACCUUGGGCUUAACUCAGGGCUUGCUUUCGAUACGGGCAGACUAGAGGUAUGCAGGGGAGAACGGAAUUCCUGGUGUAGCGGUGAAAUGCGUAGAUAUCAGGAGGAACACCGAUGGCGAAGGCAGGUCUCUGGGCUGAAACUGACGCUCAAGCACGAAAGCGUGGGGAGCAAACAGG
This 253-nucleotide ribosomal RNA is filed under the name uncultured bacterium. RNAcentral's name for it is "partial 16S ribosomal RNA". It matches the Rfam family "Bacterial small subunit ribosomal RNA", at positions 524 to 776 of the family's 1533-position model. The record is from RNAcentral.